UGGAGGGGCCAUUGGAAACUGGGGGACUUGAGUGCAGAAGAGGAGAGUGGANUUCCACGUGUAGCGGUGAAAUGCGUAGAUAUGUGGAGGAACACCAGUGGCGAAGGCGGCUCUUUGGUCUGUAACUGACGCUGAGGCGCGAAAGCGUGGGGAGCGAACAGGAUUAGAUACCCUGGUAGUCCACGCCGUAAACGAUGAGUGCUAGGUGUUGGGGGCUUCCACCCUCAGUGCUGAAGUUAACACAUUAAGCACUCCGCCUGGGGAGUACGACCGCAAGGUUGAAACUCAAAGGAAUUGACGGGGGCCCGCACAAGCAGUGGAGCAUGUGGUUUAAUUCGAAGCAACGCGAAGAACCUUACCAGGUCUUGACAUCCUCUGCCACUCCUAGAGAUAGGACGUUCCCCUUCGGGGGACAGAGUGACAGGUGGUGCAUGGUUGUCGUCAGCUCGUGUCGUGAGAUGUUGGGUUAAGUCCCGCAACGAGCGCAACCCUUGAUCUUAGUUGCCAGCAUUAGGUUGGGCACUCUAAGGUGACUGCCGGUGACAAACCGGAGGAAGGUGGGGACGACGUCAAAUCAUCAUGCCCCUUAUGACCUGGGCUACACACGUGCUACAAUGGACGGUACAAAGGGCAGCGACACCGCGAGGUGAAGCGAAUCCCAUAAAGCCGUUCUCAGUUCGGAUUGUAGGCUGCAACUCGCCUACAUGAAGCCGGAAUUGCUAGUAAUCGCGGAUCAGCAUGCCGCGGUGAAUACGUUCCCGGGCCUUGUACACACCGCCCGUCACACCACGAGAGUUUGUAACACCCGAAGUCGGUGAGGUAACCUUUUGGAGCCAGCCGCCGAAGGUGGGACAAAUGAUUGGNGUGAAGUCGUAACCAAGGUAA
This 885-nucleotide ribosomal RNA is filed under the name uncultured Bacillus sp. RNAcentral's name for it is "bacterial SSU rRNA". It matches the Rfam family "Bacterial small subunit ribosomal RNA", at positions 615 to 1499 of the family's 1533-position model. The record is from RNAcentral. Lineage: Bacteria; Bacillati; Bacillota; Bacilli; Caryophanales; Bacillaceae.